UUAGAGGGACAAGCAAAAUCCCUCGGUUUCCUGCUGCUCUAAUGGCGAUACACCCUUCAAUUGUUAUACAACAACAAGAAAGAGCGAGAAAAGCUGAAGCCUUUGGCGGAGAAUGAAAUUGCAGCUGCAAAACAACUUGUUCAGCUUAGUGAUGAUGGGAAGGCAGAGAAGAAUAGGUGGGGUUUGAAUUCUUCUUCUCCUCCUCUUUCUUAUUCAGUGGAUGGCGGAGCAGUGGUUGAGGGGAAGAAGCCUUCUGCGAUUUCGAAGCCGAAGAGGCGGUUCAGGUCCCUCAGUUCUAUAUACACGAAGACCAGGCCUGUUGAUGACAUGAGGAAGAGAUUCAAGUGUCGAGAACAGUAGCCAUCUCUCUCCAUUAGAAUAGCUUUCUUUCUAUGUAUUUAUGCUGAUACAAAGUUUUUGAAAACAAAAGUAGCAAUUAAAAUCUUAACAAAGCAAUUGGUGUGUGCUGUGCAAUGAAUUGAUGCAAACAUGUGGAUUUUUAGUUCAUAUACAGUAGAAAUUAUUGUCAAUUUUAUUAUUAUAGAAGUUGUAAUAUAAUUACGUUUUUAAUUAUAUAUAAUUUGAAUUCAUAUCUAUUAAGCUCAAUAAAAUCGAUUCUACAAUGAAUAAUAUAUCAAUAUAAUAGAUUCUGAUAAUUAUAUGAUAAAUUCCAGAUUGAAAAGAUUAAAGGACAAUCACGAUAAUAUCCAAUAAGACUCCCACCCAAAUCUCUCUCACUUAAUGACCAGCAUUAUCCAGCUGCUCUCUCUCCAUCACUUGUUUGUGAGUUCAUGAAGAAAACGAAAACCCACAAACAGAGGGAUGAAUAUGUAGGUUGAAAAACAGGUUAUUUAAUUACCAAAAAAAUAAAAAUAAAACAUUAAUAAAAGUUGGCAAAAAUAUUGGUUUCUCUCUCAACCUCUAUCAAAAAAUAUUAAUAAAAAACAUUAAAAGAAAUUGGUUUAUGUCUUAAUCUACACUACAAAACCGAUUAACUGGAAAUGGGUCCGCGAGCUUGCUUAUUUGAUGUUGGCACCGUUUAGGAUGCAUGAGUAAACGUAGAGUACAAGUUAUUUCAGUUUUUAGAAUGACCCACGUUUAAGAAAAUUUUUUUUAGAAUGAAUGUCAAGUUUAGUUCAUUGCCGUGAUUAAAAAAAUGGAUUAAUGACUCGAAUCGGUUAUACCCAUACCCAUAUCGGAUCGGUAGAAUCAGUGGAUUGGAUUGGAAGAAUCGGUAGAAUUAGUAAUUUUUGUAUCAAUUUUUUUAAAAUAAUUAAAUAAAAACUAUUCUUCUUUUCUAUUUUUUAGUUUUUUUGCUUGACUCGAUGAAGAAUCGAUGGGAAUUGGUGAGAAUCGGUCGGACUCAGUGAAGAAUCGUCGGAAUUGACAGUUCCUCAAAAAAAUCAGCGAAUCUACUAUUCUGAAUCUACCGAAUGCUGGUUUUUUAUCGGAUCCGUCCAUGUGAUUUUUUUUUUGUUGCUGUUAAAAUGGUGGUAUUUGUUCCUUCAAACUUGGGUCAAUUGCUUGUUUAAAGUGGACAAGCAAUUGGUCAAGUAUUAUGGCAGCUGCCCUUUCCUUGUUUGGUUGUUUUCGUAGACGAAGUCUUGUUCAAAGGCCAUGAUAUCAUCGAACUUUGUCAAGAAAAUAUAAAGGUAUUUUGAAAUUAAAUUAAAAAGGAAGGAGUGAAGUGUUAAAUUAUUUAUCUCGUAUUACGCAUUAUAUGUAUUUAGAGUGAUUUAGGGCGGACAUUAAAUUUUUAGUAUUUUAAAAUACGAAAUGUUCCAUUCAUCGGCAAAAUGUGCAGGAACAUGUUGCACACUGACGAAGCUUUCAUUGAUGACAUCAACAGACACCCACAGUGUCGUGCGGCCCCCUUAGCAUCCCCUGCCGGUGGAAAUCAGACCUCUAGAACUCAUGAGGUGCAAGGGAUACGUUGUUCUACUAAUCAUUUGGCCUAUGGGGACUAGAUUCACCAGCUUCGGCGCUUAACUGUAUGGAUCUUCCUCUCAUUGAAAGAGGUUCAUAAGCCAGCAGUCAAGAGUCUUUAUGACCGUAACCUAUUUGGUUCGUCAUCCGCUGCUUCUCUUAAGCUGGAAGUUAGGAGUCUUCGCGACCUUAACCUGUUUGGUUUAUCUUCCGGCUACUAUCUUCCUCUGUAAUGGCCGGAGGGAUAUCUAUAAUAUGCUCCCUACUAUUCUUGACAGCGGCAGUAAGGUCAGGGUUAGAGAUAUGGAUAGCCCAUGUUGAGAUGUGCGAUUGGGUUCGUACAACCGUUGGGAAUAUAUAGACUCUCACAGGGAAGCCAAAGAGACUAUUUCUUGGGAAUGAAGGGUAAUGAUAAUGGUGUGUUGAGAAAUGGUGGCUUGGUUGGCAGUCCUACCGUUAAUGUUAAAGCUCCUUGAAUAAAAGGAAAUAUUUGAGAAGAUUGAGGCAUGUAUGCAUGACCAUAACAAAGAGAGAUGUAUGAUGUCGGUAACUCACCCAAACCACCAUACCUUGGGAUUCUUUCCCAAGUGCAAUGCCCGGGGGCAGUUUUGUUGGGUGUAAUUUUAAUCACAUAUGAGACUAUUUUUGGAAUUAUCCCACAAGUGCAAU
Non-coding RNA from Amborella trichopoda, 2595 nucleotides. The record is from RefSeq and is a predicted model, not a curated record. NCBI's taxonomy places the organism in Eukaryota, Viridiplantae, Streptophyta, Magnoliopsida, Amborellales, Amborellaceae.